GCCUUCGUAGCUCAGCGACAGAGCAUCUCCACUCAGUUCAAAUAGGUAGUACCGAUAUCGAGACGACGUGGGUUCGACUCCCACCGAAGGCA
This is a non-coding RNA of Mycena rebaudengoi, 92 nucleotides long. The record is from the annotation of a GenBank genome assembly. Lineage: Eukaryota; Fungi; Basidiomycota; Agaricomycetes; Agaricales; Mycenaceae.